AACGCUAGCGGCAGGCUAACACAUGCAAGUCGAUGGGUAACAGGAGUAGCAAUACUCGCUGACGACCGGCGCACGGGUGAGUAACGCGUAUGCAACCUACCUUUAACUGGGGCAUAGCUCCGAGAAAUCGGGAUUAAUACCCCAUAAUGUUACAAUUUCGCAUGUUAUUGUAACUAAAACUCCGGUGGUUAAAGAUGGGCAUGCGUGUCAUUAGCUUGUUGGUGAGGUAACGGCUCACCAAGGCUACGAUGACUAGGGGGUCUGAGAGGAUGAUCCCCCACACUGGUACUGAGACACGGACCAGACUCCUACGGGAGGCAGCAGUGAGGAAUAUUGGUCAAUGGGCGAAAGCCUGAACCAGCCAUGCCGCGUGCAGGAUGACAGCCCUAUGGGUCGUAAACUGCUUUUAUACGGGAAGAAACCCCUGAUCGUGAUCGGGGCUGACGGUACCGUAAGAAUAAGGAUCGGCUAACUCCGUGCCAGCAGCCGCGGUAAUACGGAGGAUCCUAGCGUUAUCCGGAUUUAUUGGGUUUAAAGGGUGCGUAGGCGGAAUAAUAAGUCAGUGGUGAAAUCCUGCAGCUUAACUGUAGAAUUGCCAUUGAUACUGUUAUUCUUGAAUGCAGUUGAGGUAGGCGGAAUGUGUAAUGUAGCGGUGAAAUGCUUAGAUAUUACCCAGAACACCGAUUGCGUAGGCAGCUUGCUAAACUGUGAUUGACGCUGAGGCACGAAAGCGUGGGUAGCAAACAGGAUUAGAUACCCUGGUAGUCCACGCCGUAAACGAUGAUUACUCGAUGUGUGCAAUAUAUCGUACGCGUCUGAGCGAAAGCAUUAAGUAAUCCACCUGGGGAGUACGGCCGCAAGGUUGAAACUCAAAGGAAUUGACGGGGGCCCGCACAAGCGGAGGAACAUGUGGUUUAAUUCGAUGAUACGCGAGGAACCUUACCUGGGCUUAAAUGUAUUCUGACGUUCCGGGAAACUGGAAUUCCCUUCGGGGCAGAUUACAAGGUGCUGCAUGGUUGUCGUCAGCUCGUGCCGUGAGGUGUCGGGUUAAGUCCCAUAACGAGCGCAACCCCUAUUGUUAGUUGCCAGCGGAUAAUGCCGGGGACUCUAACGAAACUGCCAGUGUAACUGUGAGAAGGUGGGGAUGACGUCAAUCAGCACGGCCUUACGUCCAGGGCUACACACGUGUUACAAUGGUCGGUACAAAGGGCAGCUACCACGCGAGUGGAUGCUAAUCUCCAAAACCGAUCUUAGUUCGGAUUGAAGUCUGCAACUCGACUUCAUGAAGCUGGAUUCGCUAGUAAUCGCACAUCAGCCAUGGUGCGGUGAUACGUUCCCGGG
Molecule: ribosomal RNA, 1341 nt
Filed under: uncultured organism
Description: bacterial SSU rRNA
Rfam family: Bacterial small subunit ribosomal RNA
Source: RNAcentral